UUACCUUAAAGCUUUCUUUAUAUCUUCAUUUGCAGGGUCCAACUUCAAGCCAUCUGCAAAAGCUUCACAAGCUUUUCCAUAUCUUUUUUACCUUUAUAAACAUGAAAGCUGCCCCUUGUCGAUAGCAUGCUUUGGGCCAACUGGGCCGCAACAUUCUGCACAUGUUAGCAUCAGCAAUAGCCCCAAUGCCGGUUGACAAACGCAACCAGCAUAGGCUCCUGUUUGCUAGCAGGGUUGCCUUAUCAUGAGCACUUGUGCUAAGUUCUAUUGCCUACAUGUAGUGUUGUACUGCAAGCGCAUAAUCAUUUCUCUCGAAAGCCUCUCUAGCUUGUAAUUUCAGUUCAGCACUUUUCCUUUUAGACAGAUCAUUAUCCCUUGGCUUCAAACCAAAAUUUUCCACGUGAGAAAUAAUUCCAUCGAUACUCCAAUCUGACAGUGUUGAAAUUGGUGAGGUUAAAGGAAACAACAUUUCAACAAUGUCCCUUCUGCCAUGAUUAGCGGCAACUUCAAUUGGAAAUAUUACUCACUUCAUCUGGAAUGUUUGGAUUAGCACCAGCAUCUAGUAAGCACUUCAUGAUGACAGAAGAGCCAUGAUUUGCUGCAACCAUUACACAAGUAACGCCAUUGGAGUCUCUAAAAUUCAUGUCAGCACCAACCUGUAUAAAUGAAUUGUUAUUUGAACAUCAGUGAUUGUGUCUCAAAACUAUGGACAUAAUCAACGGGGUACCAUCAAGAUUGAAAACCCUGUUAGGCUCAUGAUGCUCCAAUAAGAUCUUCAUCGUGCUAUGUUGGCCACUAAUCGCAGCUGCCAGCAAUGGGGUCCCAGCGAUAGAAUAUAAAUCCACAUCAACUCCUUUUGAAAGAAACAACUCUACUAUUUCGCAAGACCUUUCACUGCAGCACCAUGAAGAGGUAACACUAUUUUAUCAAUCGCAGGAUUGGAACCAUGAUCGAGAAGAUAUCUUGUAGCAGCAGCUCUCCCAUGAAUUGAAGACAGGAACAGUGAGCGCAAGACCUUUGCCAUUGAACUGGUUGACGCCGAGGCAGAGGUCCUCCACGAGGUACCUGAGGACGUCCACGCUCCCUCCAGAGGCCGCCAUGUGCAGAGCGCGGUGCCCGAAGCCGCUGCCCUCCACCGCCGCCACGACAGCCGCCUCGCCCUGCCCGGUGUCCAGCCCUCGCGCCAUCUCUAUAUCAACGGGUUGCCAUCGUAGGCGGCCUGGAGGAGCACCUUCUCCUUCUCUUGCUUCCCCAUCAUCCCCUUCUCC
RNAcentral lists this small RNA (1268 nucleotides) under Oryza sativa Japonica Group (Japanese rice). RNAcentral's name for it is "sRNA Os09g0124166". The record is from RNAcentral. Lineage: Eukaryota; Viridiplantae; Streptophyta; Magnoliopsida; Poales; Poaceae.